RNAcentral lists this ribosomal RNA (729 nucleotides) under Triticum aestivum (bread wheat). RNAcentral's name for it is "partial small subunit ribosomal RNA". The record is from RNAcentral. Lineage: Eukaryota; Viridiplantae; Streptophyta; Magnoliopsida; Poales; Poaceae.
AUGGCGGAUCCGCCGGCGUCGUCCCCGGCCGACGAGGCGCGGGAUCCAGGUAGCUCAGAAGCUGCUCCUCAUGGGAGUAGUACGUCGCAAGACACGAAAGAGCAGGAAGACAUGAAAGGAGAAGCGGCUGUUGCGACCUCUGAACCCGUGAGGGAGGAACUGGUCCAGAGUGCCGUUAGUUUUCUGAGUCACCCCAAAGUCGUGGCAUCUUCCGAUGUCCAGAGGCGUUCCUUCCUGGAAAAUAAAGGGCUCACCAUGGACGAAAUUGAAGAAGCAUUUCGACGUUUACUUAGCCCACCUUCAAACUCUACAAACUCAAAUAUGUGUGAAUCUCAAGGAAGUCCUGAUCCUGAAACUUUAACCCCUGUGGUGCCCCGGCACCCAAAAUCAUAUAUGGAGGUCAUGGAAAUGAUACAGAGGGGAGAGCGGCCAGAUGAUAUCCAGGAUAUUAAUGAUGAGCCACCAAACCCUGAUCAGCCAAUCUCGAAACCCAGUAUGGCACCCAAGCCCAAGCCGUGGGAGAAGCAAGGCCAACAAAGUUCCGGCCUGGACCUGAAAGCUCACACAAGCAACCCCAGCGAAUCGUCGUCAGGAGUUCAAACCGAUGGCACCAGCCAGGCCACGGGAUCAAACAACAGCUCCGGUCACGGGAACUUGAUGCUGACGGCAGAGCCGGCUACAGGCUCUGAAGCCCCCGUGGAUGGCGUUGCCACCUCGCCAAAGCAGUAA